This 292-nucleotide ribosomal RNA is filed under the name uncultured bacterium. RNAcentral's name for it is "partial 16S ribosomal RNA". The record is from RNAcentral.
GGACUACCAGGGUAUCUAAUCCUGUUUGAUCCCCUUGCUCUCGCGCCUCAGCGUCAGGUAUAAGCUAGAGAACCGCUUUCGCCACAGGUGUUCUUCCACAUAUCUACGCAUUUCACCGCUACACGUGGAAUUCCGUUCUCUCCGCCAAACCUCAAGUUAUAUAGUUUCAAAUGCAGCUCCGAAAUUGAGUUCCGGAAUUUCACAUCUGACUUAUAUUGCCGCCUACGCGCCCUUUACGCCCAAUAAUUCCGAUUAAUGCUUGCACCCUCCGUAUUACCGCGGCUGCUGGCAC